Rattus norvegicus (Norway rat) is the source of this 2935-nucleotide non-coding RNA. The record is from RefSeq and is a predicted model, not a curated record. Lineage: Eukaryota; Metazoa; Chordata; Mammalia; Rodentia; Muridae.
CAGCUUAAAAAAUGUGUCUGACCUAUUUGUGAUGGGAGGCGCUCUUAUUCUUGAGUCUGCAGCUCUCCUGCACUGGCUGGAGAGGGAAGGUUAUGGACCUCUUGGGAUGACUGGGAUAUCCAUGGGAGGACAUAUGGCCUCCUUAGCAGUGUCCAACUGGCCCAAGCCCAUGCCGUUGAUUCCAUGCCUGUCUUGGUCCACAGCGUCUGGGGUCUUCACCACGGGUGUAUUGAGUAAAUCAAUUAAUUGGCGGGAGCUGGAAAAGCAGUAUUAUACACAGACAGUUUAUGAAGAAGAAAUUAUUCAUAUGCUCGAAUACUGUGGGACAGAUUCUUUCAAAAUGGGACACGAGUUCAUGAAACACUUCCCUAGCAAUGAAGACAAGCUGACUAACCUGAAUCUGGUUUCCAGAACUUUAAACUUAGAUAUGAGAGACCAAGUUGUGUCCCCAAAGCAUGCUGAGUGCCAUCAUUCUGGUAAAGCAUCUAUCAGUGCUACUUCAAAAGGACAGCUGUUGCAAGAUACAGCUAAGGUGGAACGCUUGAAUCAAACACUCACAACUAACAAAAGUUGUUUUGCAAGUUACAACCCUCAGUCAUUACACUUGCUCAGUAGAGAACAAAGAAGGAGCAACCUUCAAAAAGAAUCUUUAAUAUUCAUGAAAGGAGUCAUGGAUGAAUGCACUCACGUAGCAAAUUUCUCAGUUCCAGUUGACCCGAGCCUCAUUAUAGUGGUGCAAGCCAAAGAGGAUGCCUAUAUUCCGCGAACAGGAGUUCGGAGCUUACAAGAAAUUUGGCCUGGCUGUGAAAUCCGGUAUCUAGAAGGGGGUCAUAUCAGUGCUUAUCUCUUUAAACAGGGACUCUUCAGACAAGCCAUCUACGAUGCCUUUGAACGUUUCCUUCAUAAAUAUGCUAACUAAUUGGAUCGAUGUAUGGUAUAACAUCCUGUCUCCUGCUUUAAAAGAGUUCACCCUAUGAUGAUGUGAAAAACAAGCAGACAGCACUACAUACCUGAUUGCUGCCAAAAUUUAAAAACUACAUAUGAAAUUAAACCAUUGUACAGAAAAACAUGAGGUUUUUGCACACUGCUAACUUUUUAAAUGGAAAUUAUAUGGAUAGAUAUUUGGUGCUAAUGUUAACCUGCUCUGAGCUAAAGUGUUUAAAAGGUAAAUGUGUUUACUUUGAAAUCUGUAUUGUCCUUACAUUUAAAUUAGGUCUUCCUGGUCUGGUGUGUGUAUUAUACAUGUCUUCUGCAGCUUUUUAAAAAGAUAUUGUGGCACUCUGUCUCUGUCACUAAAAUUUCUAACAGCUAUUUAAACAUCUUUACUAUGAAUUCAUUGAUGGCAGAGCAAUAGCUUCUUGAACAAUACUUUUUUUUGUUGUUGUUUAAGGUUUAUUUGUUUAUUUUAUGAGUAUGAGUACAGUGUCACUGUCUGCAGACACACCAGAAGCGGAACAACAUAUUCCAUUACAGAUGGUUGUGAACCACCAUGCGGGUGCUGGGAAUUAACUCAGAACCUCAGAAGAGCAGUCGUGCUCUUGAUCGCCGAGGCAUCUCUCCGGCCCCUUGGACACUACUUUCGAGUAACAUUACAGUGCGGCUGUUAGAGCUACAGCAUUUUUGUAUUUUCAGACUUGAACUUUUACUUUUAGUAAAACCUUAAGAGUAAAAUCUGGCCUUGGUGGUGGUGGUGGUGGUGGUGGUGGUGGUGGUGGUGGUGGUGGUGGUGGUGGUGGUGUACACCUUUAAUCCCAGCAAAGGCAGACACUCUCUAAGUUGGAGGCCAGCCUGGUCUACAGAGUGAGUUCCAGGACAGCCAGGACUAUACAGAGAAACCCUGUUUUCAAAACAAAACCACAAAACAAACAAACAAAAGAUAAGAGAACUGGGUGUAGAGCCAGGAGUGAUGGCACAGUCUCUUCCACCCCUACUCCUCACCUGCCUCCCAAUCCCUCCCCACCUCCCUAUCCCUACCCCCCUCCCUGUCUGGGAGGCAGAGUUCAGGGCCAGCCUGGUCUACAGAAGAGUUGUAGGACAACUAGGGCUACACUGGGUGUUACUGGCAGUACAUGCCUGAAAUUCCUGCACUUGGGAGACAGAGGAUCAAUCAACCACAAGGUUCAGGCCAGCACAGUCUACACAGUAUAUUCCAGGCCAACCAGGGCUACCUGUCACAAAUAAGUUCAUUUUCAUCUUUUAAGUUUAGGCUCUUUCAAGACAACACUCACAAAACUACCUAAACUUAUUAAUUCAGAGAAGAAAAUGACUUCACUCACAUUUCUUCAAACCCACUCUGCAAAAUAGUAACUUAAGUACUGUAAAGUCUCAAAUGCUUGAGACAAAUGGCUGAAAUUGCUAUCUACCUUAUCAAAUCGAACCUCUUCCCCCAUCCCUCAGAUCCUAACCUGGUUUCUAAACCCCGCCCCCUAUAUUGAACUCUCGAGCCCCCUACCCUGAACUUUGCCACCCCAGCACAUGCGUGUGUAUGCACACACACACACACACACACACACACACACACACACACACACACACACAAAGUUGUACACAUUCUUUGAGAAACUAAUAUAUUCUCAAAGAAGUCCUGCCUGCCAUUUUCCUGCCACCUGGUGGAUUAGGUCUAUAAAAUACUACAGAUUAAUUCAGAGCAGAGUUGCAGGGAUCCAACCAUAGGCUGGUUUGACCCAAUUUUAUGUAUUGUACAUAAGGUGGGCAUUCUUAUAUGUAACUACUACUCUAUAUUUCUGACUCAGUCUUAAAGGCCCUGAAGAUAUAGUUCUGUAGUUAGAUUUCAUUCUUUACCAAUGUUGUAAUUAGAUCACUUUAUCAAUGUAUUUUUAAUAUGGUGCUUUCUCUAUUAUAAUAUUAACUAUAUAACAAAUUUUAAAAUAUUUGCCAAAAUUUUAUUUCCUAAUAAAAUCUGUUUCAGAAAUUA